AUGAAUCGGUACCGAAGUAGCGUCAACAUCCUUGACUCUUUACCUUAUCCGAAGAACCAUCGUCCUUCAAAGAACACCUACCAUAAAGACUGCGAGAAGAUUAUCUCCAGGAUGGUCCAAGUAAUGAAGGCUGUGUAUGGUGAUGCUCAGUACAAUGCGAGCAAGCAGCCAAAAUGGGAGCUUUUUGCAAAGAAACCAACGUUUGUGAAGGUCCCACUUCAAGGGGCGGAUGAAUGUGGCCAUUAUACUGUGAAGUAUGCGGGAUCCUAUGAUGGUGAAAAGAUCGUUUGGAACAUUCGAGAUAAUGAUGAGGCCUCGUAUUGUUGA
This 327-nucleotide ribosomal RNA is filed under the name Triticum aestivum (bread wheat). Its description in RNAcentral is "partial small subunit ribosomal RNA". The record is from RNAcentral. Lineage: Eukaryota; Viridiplantae; Streptophyta; Magnoliopsida; Poales; Poaceae.